GCUUCCCUGGCUCCCCUGCCAUCCUUGUCACAGCACGAGCUCAGUCCCCCGUACGUGCGCUCGGCGAAUCUGGCCGCUCGUCAGCCGCACGCCGAGGCGGUUGCGAUUCGGUCCCCGAUCGAACCCGGCACAGCAAAAUCCCCACCGAAAAGAUGUCCCGAAGAUUCCCGGAGCUGGCGUCGGUGGGUGGGUGGAGCAGGCGGCGACGACGGCAGCGCCGUGGGUGGGUCUAAGCCCCGCGGCGGCGGCGGCGGCGGACCGGCGGCAGCUAGCCCGGCCUAUCGCCCCCCGUGUUCCGCGUAAGUUUAAGAAAAUUGCAGUACCCCUCUAUUUUGUUCUGGCAAGCCACAAGCGCGCAAGGAAUGAUGAAUAUGGGGAAAUGUGAUGAAGUCCUCGGACUGCUGGAUGUUGCAUUGGAGAUUUUCCUGUACUACACUAUUCAGGAUCAGCUCACCAGCAACCAGCAUCUAUUCUUCAAUGCAGCCAGACAGAUUUACAAUCAGGGAAUGGAACAACAAACUUACACAACUUACAGAGGUACAACACAUAUCUACCACCCAUGAAGGGCGUAACCAUCCUACAUGCGAGAAGCACCAAAUAGACAUACAUCUGCUGGAUUAGUCAGUUUCUUUCCAUCGGAUGGCAUGGAUAGAAGAUAUGUAUAUAAUUUUAUCUCCUUGGAGGCUAGGGAUAUUCAACUGAACCUAACUCAUGAACUCACUGCUGUUCCGAGAACUCACAAUUGUGGUGCGAGGAACUCAGUCGAUCAUUUUAUUCCAGCCUUGCUCUGUAAUUCUCUGAAAGCAUUCGUGCUGCAAUGGAUUAGGCCGCGUAAAUUUACGUUCUGUCCAGAGAUCAACGGGUUAAAUUUUACUUUUGCUCACAUCACUGUGAUGCAAGCUCUUAGUAUAUGUUGCCACCAUUUCUCAUAUUUGCAUUGGUAAAAUUUGCAGGUCGUAACUCUGGUAGGCCUUGAUGUUAGGUGCCUGAGGGGCGUACUGCCAAGUUCUUUAUAUCUGAAAGGGACCUGUGUAGGCAUGACCCCAUACAGUACCGCCUCUACACAUUACUAUCACACAGUAACUUGCACCACUAACUGACGAACCCCCAAUAGCAACUCACAUAAAGCCAAUGCUUUCCCCUUCCCCUCUCCGCCUCUUCUCCACCCCUGCUUCUGCUGCUGCUGCUGAUUGUGGAGAAGAUGACAGCCAGUGUCGGUGUCGGUGGUGACAUCCACUUCUGAAGAUUAACAGCCAUUUCUGUUGCAUUUUGAACUCCACCCCAAUGUGCAGGCUCCAGAACCUGUACCACGUUGUUCAUUUAUUUGAUUACUAUCGUUUAAAGAAAAUUCAUUUGUUCCAUUAUGUAUGGGUGACAUCCAUAAAAAAAAAAUCAAUUUUUCCUGACUUGAUAUGCUGUUUAGUCCCCUCUGUUAACCAUGAUAAUGUUUGGGCAGAAUGUGAGGAGAUAUGAAGCUUGGCGGUCGAUGAUCGUGAUGAGAUGAAAUACAGGAGGGAGCUCAGAUUCCAGUUUGAACCAAGUAUAAUUCCCCCAAGCUUGGUGUGGACCUGUUGGUGUCUUCAGUCUUUUAACCCUUUAUCACCGAGCAAGUGAGCAACCUGGUUUCUUCAGAAACCCUGGGCCUUACAACAGGUGACAGAUAAAGUUAAAGCCUUUUACUAGUUCUUUUUCUCCCUUUUGGAUACAGGACAUGACCCAUGACAUAAUCUGGGUUUUGCAAUUUGAUGAUGAUGCGGUACCCUCUUGGCUGUAGGCCUGUCUGUCUGAACUCUAGAGGAUAUUACUAAUUUCUUCAGUAAUCCUCAGACGGGAGCUCGUUGUUAAGAUGUACUGGAAUUGUAAAAUGGAGUUGUAUGAUUCAGUCAGCCUGGACUCACGCGAUCGACCGAGGGACUUGAAAGAACCGCCUCGAGAGCGACAGGGCAACGCGUGAAGAGAAAGAAAAAGCAAGG
Molecule: RNA transcript, 1973 nt
Organism: Brachypodium distachyon (stiff brome)
Lineage: Eukaryota; Viridiplantae; Streptophyta; Magnoliopsida; Poales; Poaceae
Exons: 5
Source: RefSeq, a predicted model, not a curated record